This is an RNA transcript of Diachasmimorpha longicaudata, 6579 nucleotides long. RefSeq lists it as uncharacterized. Lineage: Eukaryota; Metazoa; Arthropoda; Insecta; Hymenoptera; Braconidae. The transcript is spliced from 4 exons. The record is from RefSeq and is a predicted model, not a curated record.
UGUGCCAUGAUGAAGAUAUGUUCGGUUCAUAAUGCUAGUUCGAUUUUUCUUCAAGAUGCGAAGGUCUCAGCCUGUUUUUUUUUUCAUUUUACUCUGUUGCUAGCGAUCAAUAAUUUAACUAUCCUUCUUUUAUUCAGUUAUAAUUAUUUCCGUUCAUUAAGUGCACCCCCCGACAAAAAAUUGUCUAAGUUUACCAUUAAUUUAUAAAGAAAAUCCAAAAUCCAGAAAAGAACAAAACAUAUAAGCCAAUCAACCACAAAACUUUCCCAAAAAGUCAACAAAAAAAAUGCGAAACAAUUUGUAUCUCAUCACCUUGUGCAUUAAACAUUUGGGUACCCACUGAUUGACCCACAACCAUCGGCGAUUUGCGGGAGGAAACGAGUUGUCAGGUGGAUAAACGUGGAAAAUGUUCGGUGCAGUGACGCGAGUCAAAACCACCAUUUAACAAUUUCAAUUAAUCUCCCAGGGAAAAAAAAAACGAAACAACAGUGGAAAAACUAGCGAGUGUUUGCACUAAAAAAAGCAAAGAUUAUAGGAGGCCUAGGAGCCAAGAAAAACGCAAAAAACGAAAAAAUCGAUUUCAGAAUAUUCCGGGAGGCCUAGACAAAUCGCAAAUCGUCUCACCAUGAUUUCCGAUAGUAACUCACUUCGUCCCUCUUUUCGGUGGAUUUUUAGUGGAGAAUUUUCACCACCUCCGGCGCGUUUCAGAAAAGGAAACGCUUAUUUAUGGUCUGAGUAAACUAGCGGGCCUGGGGCGCACUUGGGGACGAAAUCGACAGCUGUCCUUCUCCGUCCGUCCCCAAUCCUCCUUUCUGGGUGGUGUCCCUCGAAGUGGAAAAAAAAGGAAGUGGAUAUUUUACGGGGAAGAGGAGGCGCAGAUCCAAAAAUUGGAUCGAGUGCUCGGAGAGAGAGAGAGCUUCCACUAUGGCCAAGAAAUGGGAUACAUAUAUAUAUAUAUAUAUAUAUAUCCCAUUUGAUGUGUUGUUGGCUGCAUAAAUAAUAACCCGUGCAAUUUUCCGUGUAAUUGAUGGCGGUUUACUCCUCCUAUCGCCUUCAACUCUCUUUCUGCAUAACCUCCAGUGUUGUAUUCAUAAUGGUGAGUGAAUGGGGCAGCCCUUCGGUGCUGGACACCGAUGAUAGCCAGAGGAAGAUGGAGAAACACCGCGGGGCGUAAACUCGACAAUACCUUCGUCACGCCGUGGUGCAUUGUUUGGAUCCACAGGGCCACUCGAUCGUCAGCGUGUGUGGUCCAAAAGAGAGAGUCGAGUGGUUAGUUAGGUACGUCCAGGCGAUGGUGUCCAACCGGGAAAUUGUUCGACACGCGACCUUUCAGGCGAUGAAUACAAACUGUACAACUGGAGAAAAUUGAUUGGAUCCGUGUGGAGAGAUGAGGCUCGAUAAUAUCGGGACGUCUUUCCAUUUUAUUAGCUAUUUUGGAAAUAUAUCUGGGCGUUAUGUGUGUCUAUUGGCACCUCAAUUGGAAGAUUUCCUUGGAGUUUUUUUCCUGGCAUUUUUCCUCGGCGAAUUUUUCUCUUGGCAUUUUUUUUCUCAUUGAUCAAGCAAAAGUUGCCAUUGAUUCUUUCAUUAUCAAUCAUGAACAAACGGGAUGACUUGAUUUUCAUCCGGAAUUGCACCAGAAAAUAACUGGUGGUGGUCUUCCUGCGAAUCGACAGCGUGUGCGGUCCAAAGAGAGAGUCCAAUGUUUAGUUCAGGCGAUGGUGUCCAACCAGGUAAUUGUUUGACACGCGACCCUUUAUGAGGUGGGCUCAAACUUGGGAAAAUGAAUUGGAGUCGUGGGGAGAGGUGAUACUGAAGGUUCCGUAACGUCUUUUGGUUCUCUUAUUUAGGAAGGUGAAUCGGUGAGUUACAGAGCUAAAGUCGUUCGACACCCGGUGUCUCUCCUGCACCUCAAAUCUCCUAAAAAAAAUACAUCCCGUCCGAAAAAAAAUAGAGAUAACUUGACUCACUUGACGUCAAUCCUAAACGACCUGGGCCGAAUGCAGGAACCAUGUUACCUCGCCUCGUAAUGCAGCCCUGAAACAGCCGCCGGAGGGUCAUAAACAGCGCGCACAUUGGAGGUAACAACACACGGUAUAUUCACAGGAGCAUCAACGUGUACGAAGGGAAAAGGAAGUGCCCCAUGGCCUAUGUCGCUCUCCUGUCCCUGCCUAGAGCCUGUCACAUACGCUCUUUUGCGCUUAGUGGGAGUUACGAUGGCCGUAAUUCUUCAGUACCCAGGCUAGCGCUCUUUUAUCCGCUUUAACCCGCGCUCACACACCGUGUCCUCGCUUUUUGGCGCUCAAUGGAGGAAAGCACACGAUUCUCUGAUAUAUAAAACAACCAAUACGUGCAGGUGGGUAUCCACAGUGAGUCCAGAAUGACAAAGUUGAAGUUACGACACGGCUAAACUCACAAAAGCUUUUUACUAAACGACACCGGAGUUCAAUUUAUUCUUUUUUUUUUCAAACCUAAGUUUUGAUUUUGCCCAAGACGCUGUCUCAUAAUACCUCAUAUAUUCUCAGCAUUCCGAGGUAUUCGCGGUGAGGGGAGGGGGGGGGAGGUAUUGCUGGGGCACAAGUAGAUCCACGUGUUGCCCAAUUUUUUUUUUUUUGAAAGGUCUGUCGCUACAUUCGCAAUCCAAUAAAACUAAUUACACAAACCCUCAUUUAUUUUGCUGAUUACAAUCGAUAUUAUCAUUUCUUAAUUCAAUCCAAACUUUCAUAGUCAAUCCAUUUACUAUAAUGUCUACACAACUGAAAAUUUACGGUUGAAAUCCUUCGGACGAUUUUCGUUAGGAAAAAAUACGUGAAACUAUUUCCUGGAGCAUAAUAAUGUAUAAGUAAUAGGUUUCGGGCACCUCACCUGCCUCUCCCCAUUCACCGUGACCUGAAAUUUCGGGAAACGUGUAGAGAAAAAAAAAGGAAAAAUAGCGGAAACGAAGGCUGUCCAAACAGAGUGCAAAAUCCCGGGGUGACAAUGAUCUCGAUGAAGAGGGGUGAGGUAGUCCCCAAUGCACAUAAUGACGAAGAAAAUCGGGGCAGAUGUCGGACAGCCAAUGAAAGGGCCAAUGGGUGGUGAGAGUCUGACGAAUGGAGUUAAUGUCUGGAGUGUCAAUAUGAAAUAUUCGAGUGCCGUACGUAGAACGCACGGGCGUGACCUUUAGCCAAUGGAAGGGAAAAAAAGGACAGGCUGUGGCUUUUGUGUACCUGACAAAGGAGCCAUUAAAAUCCUCAUGGAUUUAUUGGAUCGUCACCGCAAUCGAGCACUCGAAGGGUGAAAAAAAAAUGAAUCCAUUUCACGGGGAGGGAAUGCAUUUCACCAUUUGCCGGGACCUUUUGAGGAAAAAAUUUAAUGGAAUAAUCGAUCAUAAUUUUUGAGCUGAGGGGGUUGAUGUCGAUGAAUUAAAUUUUUAUUUUAUCGAUGUAAUUGAUAAUUACACCUCUGUGAGGAUCUUACAAGGGGGGGCGGAGUCCAAAGUGAAUGAAAAAUUAUUUUACUCCCUCACUGAAACACGAAAUUUUUUCCCCAGCUCAAUAUAUCCUAGAACCUCAAAUACCAGGAGAAACCUGUGACAUUUGACGUUGGAAGGGUCAAAAUUGUCGGUAAAUAAUGCGGGAUUUUUUUUUUCACUUCGACUUCUCGACUCACGUAUCUCACUCAUCAAAUGUUUACCCGGGGAAUUAGCAACGGGCGUAACUCGGCUCUCUGAUGUCGUUUGGUAGGCGUAAAUAAAGUAGCCGUCAACUGUUGGGGAGCGCUAACCACUGCUAAGUGUCCUCCCAAUCUGUGUACGUUAUCCAUUAACGUUUUCACGUGGUAUCUUAUGUCGGGUGGGGUCAAUUACAGUACAGUAGUCGGUUAUUUUUUCGAGGGUGAAAGGUAGCCACAUACUUCAACUCGCCGAGUCCUAAACAAGCAGCACGUCAAUCCCUCUGAUGUAUGUGAAACUCUCGAGGGACUGUUAGUCUUCUAGAAUUCUUCGAUAUAAUUUUUGGGAGAGUCAGCCAUUUUGCAGUGACUACGAGAAAUUUUGAAUGGCUCAAAAUACUUCUCGGGUCCGUUUACCCCGGAAUAUUUUUCUCAAAGAUUAUAAAAUGAAAAUGUAUUGGAGAAUUGGCUUAUCGUAGAUGACUAGUGACGAAUUAUUCAUCAACGAUGAAAAGCUGUCGAGUGUCGGAGAGUGGAUAUCGUAUUCAAUUGUGUCACUUUGUUUUUUCAGUGAUCUGUUAUGAUAGAUAAAGCACACUCGAUCAUGAGAGAACAUUAAUCAAUUGUGACUGAAGGCAUGGUGUUCAAUCAUUGGACGGAAGUGACACUGUGACGAGAGUGGAAAAAUAUUGAUGGGAAUUUUUUUUAAUUUUGAGGGCGAGUUCAAGUUGGAUUACAUGGAUCUAUUAGUCGUGAGAUUUUUUGGACUUUAAAACAGAGAAUAAAAAUUCAACAUUAAGAUAGUGAUUAUCAAAAAGUAAAAAAAUGAGCCGUUGAGUUUGAAAAUUUUUACUGCCCCAGCAUCACUCAAUUUUUACGUAAUGAAACUAUCAAGAAGAUAUCCUUCCCACAAAUAGCCCCCCCCCCCUCUCCGACCAUUGAGUCCUUAAUGCCCCAUUCAUCCAAUUCCCCCUCCCCCAAACAAUAAAAAUAAAUGACCCCCGCGAUAAAGACAAUAACUCCCCUGAAAAACCGGUUGCCCAUCCAUUAAAUCCUACCCCCAAAUGACCAUAACUCAUUCCGAUAAAUGAAAUAUGAAAGUAAUCCCGUGGAUUACCACACGGAGUCAUCCAAUGACUGCCUCUCUCAUCCUCAAAACAAUUUCGGUGUUCUCUCACAGAGAGGUCAUGUGGCAUUCGUUAAAACCCCAUGGGGGCGAGAUAUCCAAAGAAGAAGUUAGGUGCCACGUACCUUAUCGUAAACGUCUCAUAACGACGUCUCGCCUGUAAUGACGCGUGACACACGACGACAUUAUGGAGAAAGGACUCGAGCGUUGGCUCGUAAACUCUCGCCUCAAUCCCUUUGCAUUUCCCCCGCGCCAUUUACGAUCAUAAGGGCACCUCGCGGGUUAUGCUAUUUCGUGCUGAUGUCAUAUCGCAUGACAAACCAAUGGCAUCAAAGGACUGCCGACGUCGGUUUGAUUAACAUGUAAAAAAAAGAAAGAUGAUCUUUUUUUAAACAAAAUCCAGUGUAACUGUCUUUGAAGACGGUUUUACACUGUGCUAGAUAUCUAACGAGUAUAUCAUAUAUUCCUAUAUUAUUAUGAAUAAAUUGGCUGCUGCCAGAUGGUGAGAGUGCUUACGCGGUACCCCAGCCGAAUUCCCUACCCACACGUACCUCUAAAAGAUAACUUAUAUCUAACUCCACAUGCACUGGGUUCGUUUUCCGGCUAUGAAAAACUCCUUCAUCAUUGGGACUCGAACCUGGUCAUAGGGCCAGCACUAACCACGAGCCCAAAAACAUUCUUAUAUAUAUAUAUAUAUAUAUAUAAUAUUUGUCAUGUUGUAGUGAGAAGAAAACAGUAAGUAUUUUACUCAUUUCAUUUUCUCAACCUCUACUUCCUUUUCAUCCACCGCUGCCAAUCUCUCGCCACGUCGGCGCCGUGAAGAAAAUUAGACACUGUAAACGCAGACGUCCCGCAGGAUAAUAACAGUUGUGUUUUAGUUUUUUUUUUCCUCUUGAAUCUCCCUCGACUAGGGCUCCACUUAAGUACCCACCUAGUUUCGAAUCUAUUUAUUAUGUUCCGGGACGGAGGAUCAUCCCGUGUCAAUUAGACACGUCGGGAUGCGAUUGUUUGUACGGCGGCACACUUUGUAGUCUGUCUUCUUUCUCACUUGUUACAUCUCUACCUUUCCGUUCUUCUCGAUACGCCCGCAAAUUGCCGAACUGUGUUUCGGGGAGAGUAUCGGCUUGAACGACUUGAUGAUGAUACCGCCUAGGGAGCCAUCAUCGGCAGGAGGAAGUUGAAGAUUAAUGGUUUUCGGAGGUUCGAUUCGUCAGGGAAAUGAAAAGCCGACUGAUGAGAACUGCCCGAAGGAGGAAUUUAUGAUUUUGGUGGAAAGCUAACCGAUUUUCGAAAACAAUACGAAGCAUUAAAUCAUUUAGAGUAGGCAAACAAAUAAAAUUUUCUCCCUCCCUUCAUCCUUCAAUUUCUCACUCGAUUCUUCUUUUUCAGUUAUUAAAAAAUUAUUUUUCCCUCAGAGGCCGAAGGUUUUUCUUCUUUUCCUCAAUUCUCUAUUUUGCCACACAUUAUAUACUUUUCUCAAUGUCAAUUCCCUCUUUCCUCACUGCAGUCUGGGAGCAUUACUCUCCUGCUCGAUCAUUAAAUGAGUGUAAAAAAAUAUGUACUGAACAUUACAGUGUUGAAUUUACGAGUGAGGCCAGGAAAAGGUGCGGCACUCGUAAAACUGAAAUAUCACAAUUCGUUUUUUCUCUCCCACCAUUGGUAAAGCAUUAUUCAAGUAGAGGUGAAGAGAAAGGGGUUUAUUGUUGACUUGGGAAAACCAAUUUUUAAAUCUGGGACGAUGGCUAAUUUGUACGUCCAAGUCCGUAAAAUCCACGUAUACAUCUCGAAUUCGUAAUGCUUGGUGA